Long non-coding RNA from Haliotis rubra (blacklip abalone), 95 nucleotides. RefSeq lists it as uncharacterized. The transcript is spliced from 3 exons. The record is from RefSeq and is a predicted model, not a curated record. Lineage: Eukaryota; Metazoa; Mollusca; Gastropoda; Lepetellida; Haliotidae.
UUGUAGUCUGUAAUUUUUUCCAUGUCGUUCCAAAAUGUUUCUGCAUUGGGAUCUUUUGAUACGGGUUUCUUCUUCUUUGUAGGUGGCUCCGCAAU